GCGGACGUGGUGAAAUUGGCAGACACACCAGAUUUAGGUUCUGGCGACGAGAGUCAUGGGGGUUCAAGUCCCUUCGUCCGCACCA
RNAcentral lists this transfer RNA (85 nucleotides) under Candidatus Pelagibacter sp. RNAcentral's name for it is "tRNA-Leu". It matches the Rfam family "tRNA". From Rfam's summary of the family: Transfer RNA (tRNA) molecules are approximately 80 nucleotides in length. Their secondary structure includes four short double-helical elements and three loops (D, anti-codon, and T loops). Further hydrogen bonds mediate the characteristic L-shaped molecular structure. tRNAs have two regions of fundamental functional importance: the anti-codon, which is responsible for specific mRNA codon recognition, and the 3' end, to which the tRNAs corresponding amino acid is attached (by aminoacyl-tRNA synthetases). tRNAs cope with the degeneracy of the genetic code in two manners: having more than one tRNA (with a specific anti-codon) for a particular amino acid; and 'wobble' base-pairing, i.e. permitting non-standard base-pairing at the 3rd anti-codon position. The record is from RNAcentral. RNAcentral also lists the same sequence under 1 other name. Lineage: Bacteria; Pseudomonadati; Pseudomonadota; Alphaproteobacteria; Candidatus Pelagibacterales; Candidatus Pelagibacteraceae.